GAACGCUGGCGGCGUGCCUAAUACAUGCAAGUCGAGCGAACAGACGAGGAGCUUGCUCCUCUGACGUUAGCGGCGGACGGGGGAGUAACACGUGGAUAACCUACCUAUAAGACUGGGAUAACUUCGGGAAACCGGAGCUAAUACCGGAAAAUAUAUUGAACCGCAUGGUUCAAUAGUGAAAGACGGUUUUGCUGGCACUUAUAGAUGGAUCCGCGCCGCAUUAGCUAGUUGGUAAGGUAACGGCUUACCAAGGCAACGAUGCGUAGCCGACCUGAGAGGGUGAUCGGCCACACUGGAACUGAGACACGGUCCAGACUCCUACGGGAGGCAGCAGUAGGGAAUCUUCCGCAAUGGGCGAAAGCCUGACGGAGCAACGCCGCGUGAGUGAUGAAGGUCUUCGGAUCGUAAAACUCUGUUAUUAGGGAAGAACAAAUGUGUAAGUAACUAUGCACGUCUUGACGGUACCUAAUCAGAAAGCCACGGCUAACUACGUG
Molecule: ribosomal RNA, 494 nt
Filed under: uncultured bacterium
Lineage: Bacteria
Description: partial 16S ribosomal RNA
Rfam family: Bacterial small subunit ribosomal RNA
Source: RNAcentral